RNAcentral lists this transfer RNA (72 nucleotides) under Ovis aries (sheep). It matches the Rfam family "tRNA". From Rfam's summary of the family: Transfer RNA (tRNA) molecules are approximately 80 nucleotides in length. The record is from Rfam by way of RNAcentral. Lineage: Eukaryota; Metazoa; Chordata; Mammalia; Artiodactyla; Bovidae.
UCCUUGGUGGCUCAGUUGGUAAAGAAUCUGCCUGCAAUGUAGGAGACCCAGGUUCAAUCCCUGGGUUGGGAA